ACUAUCAUUAACUGAAUCCAUAGGUUAAUGAGGCGAACCGGGGGAACUGAAACAUCUAAGUACCCCGAGGAAAAGAAAUCAACCGAGAUUCCCCCAGUAGCGGCGAGCGAACGGGGAGGAGCCCAGAGCCUGAAUCAGCAUGUGUGUUAGUGGAAGCGUCUGGAAAGGCGCGCGAUACAGGGUGACAGCCCCGUACACAAAAGCGCAUGUGCUGUGAGCUCGAUGAGUAGGGCGGGACACGUGGUAUCCUGUCUGAAUAUGGGGGGACCAUCCUCCAAGGCUAAAUACUCCUGACUGACCGAUAGUGAACCAGUACCGUGAGGGAAAGGCGAAAAGAACCCCGGCGAGGGGAGUGAAAAAGAACCUGAAACCGUGUACGUACAAGCAGUGGGAGCACCCUUUGGG
RNAcentral lists this ribosomal RNA (405 nucleotides) under Salmonella enterica. Its description in RNAcentral is "partial 23S ribosomal RNA". It matches the Rfam family "Bacterial large subunit ribosomal RNA", at positions 147 to 590 of the family's 2925-position model. The record is from RNAcentral. Lineage: Bacteria; Pseudomonadati; Pseudomonadota; Gammaproteobacteria; Enterobacterales; Enterobacteriaceae.